ACGGCGAGUGAAGCGGCAACAGCUCAAAUUUGAAAUCUGGCCCCCUCGGGGCCCGAGUUGUAAUUUGCAGAGGGAGCUUUUGGCGUCGGUCGUGGUCUAAGUUCCUUGGAACAGGACGUCACAGAGGGUGAGAAUCCCGUACGUGGCCGCCGGCCUUCGCCUUGUAAAGCCCCUUUCGACGAGUCGAGUUGUUUGGGAAUGCAGCUCUAAAUGGGAGGUAAAUUCCUUCUAAAGCUAAAUACCCGCCAGAGACCGAUAGCGCACAAGUAGAGUGAUCGAAAGAUGAAAAGCACUUUGGAAAGAGAGUGAAAAAGCACGUGAAAUUGUUGAAAGGGAAGCGCUUGCGGCUAGACGUGCCCGCGGUUGAUCAUCCAGGCUCCGGCCUGGUGCACUCCUCCGCGGGCAGGCCAGCAUCAGUUCGGGCGGUCGGAUAAAGGCCUCUGUCACGUACCACCCCUCGGGGUGGCCUUAUAGGGGAGGCGCAACACGGCCAGCCCGGACUGAGGUUCCGCGCAUCUGCUAGGAUGCUGGCGUAAUAGCAGCAAGCGGCCCGUCUUGAAACACGGACCAAGGAGUCUAACAUCUAUGCGAGUGUUUGGGUGUCAAGCCCGAGCGCGCAAUGAAAGUGAACGGAGGUGGGAACCCUCACGGGUGCACCAUCGACCGAUCCUGAUGUCUUCGGAUGGAUUUGAGUAAGAGCAUAGCUGUUGGGACCCGAAAGAUGGUGAACUAUGCCUGAAUAGGGUGAAGCCAGAGGAAACUCUGGUGGAGGCUCGCAGCGGUUCUGACGUGCAAAUCGAUCGUCAAAUUUGGGCAUAGGGGCGAAAGACUAAU
This 834-nucleotide ribosomal RNA is filed under the name Torula sp. GoF-062015. RNAcentral describes it as "eukaryotic LSU rRNA". It matches the Rfam family "Eukaryotic large subunit ribosomal RNA", at positions 86 to 935 of the family's 3401-position model. Lineage: Eukaryota; Fungi; Ascomycota; Dothideomycetes; Pleosporales; Torulaceae. The record is from RNAcentral.